GGAGGAAUAUUGGUCAAUGGGCGAGAGCCUGAACCAGCCAUGCCGCGUGAAGGAUGAAGGCGUUCUGCGUUGUAAACUUCUUUUAUGGGGAAGAAACCUGGAUUUUCUAAUUCAGCCGACGGUACCCAGGAAUAAGCACCGGCUAACUCCGUGCCAGCAGCCGCGGUAAUACGGAGGGUGCAAGCGUUAUCCGGAUUUACUGGGUUUAAAGGGUGCGUAGGCGGACUUUAAGU
RNAcentral lists this ribosomal RNA (233 nucleotides) under uncultured bacterium. RNAcentral describes it as "partial 16S ribosomal RNA". It matches the Rfam family "Bacterial small subunit ribosomal RNA", at positions 355 to 588 of the family's 1533-position model. The record is from RNAcentral.